Molecule: ribosomal RNA, 375 nt
Filed under: uncultured Lactococcus sp.
Lineage: Bacteria; Bacillati; Bacillota; Bacilli; Lactobacillales; Streptococcaceae
Description: bacterial SSU rRNA
Rfam family: Bacterial small subunit ribosomal RNA
Source: RNAcentral
AUACGUAGGUCCCGAGCGUUGUCCGGAUUUAUUGGGCGUAAAGCGAGCGCAGGUGGUUUAUUAAGUCUGGUGUAAAAGGCAGUGGCUCAACCAUUGUGUGCAUUGGAAACUGGUAGACUUGAGUGCAGGAGAGGAGAGUGGAAUUCCAUGUGUAGCGGUGAAAUGCGUAGAUAUAUGGAGGAACACCGGUGGCGAAAGCGGCUCUCUGGCCUGUAACUGACACUGAGGCUCGAAAGCGUGGGGAGCAAACAGGAUUAGAUACCCUGGUAGUCCACGCCGUAAACGAUGAGUGCUAGAUGUGGGAAGCUAUAAGUUUUCCGUAUCGCAGCUAACGCAAUAAGCACUCCGCCUGGGGAGUACGACCGCAAGGUUGAA